This 527-nucleotide ribosomal RNA is filed under the name uncultured bacterium. Its description in RNAcentral is "bacterial SSU rRNA". It matches the Rfam family "Bacterial small subunit ribosomal RNA", at positions 982 to 1509 of the family's 1533-position model. The record is from RNAcentral.
GUACAUCCAGAGAACUUAGCAGAGAUGCUUUGGUGCCUUCGGGAACUCUGAGACAGGUGCUGCAUGGCUGUCGUCAGCUCGUGUUGUGAAAUGUUGGGUUAAGUCCCGCAACGAGCGCAACCCUUAUCCUUUGUUGCCAGCGGUUCGGCCGGGAACUCAAAGGAGACUGCCGGUGAUAAACCGGAGGAAGGUGGGGAUGACGUCAAGUCAUCAUGGCCCUUACGGCCAGGGCUACACACGUGCUACAAUGGCGCAUACAAAGAGAAGCGACCUCGCGAGAGCAAGCGGACCUCAUAAGGUGCGUCGUAGUCCGGAUUGGAGUCUGCAACUCGACUCCAUGAAGUCGGAAUCGCUAGUAAUCGUAGAUCAGAAUGCUACGGUGAAUACGUUCCCGGGCCUUGUACACACCGCCCGUCACACCAUGGGAGUGGGUUGCAAAAGAAGUAGGUAGCUUAACCUUCGGGAGGGCGCUUACCACUUUGUGAUUCAUGACUGGGGUGAAGUCGUAACAAGGUAGGCGUAGCGAG